UACAGAGGGUGCAAGCGUUUAAUCGGAUUUACUGGGCGUAAAGCGCGCGUAGGCGGCUAAUUAAGUCAAAUGUGAAAUCCCCGAGCUUAACUUGGGGAAUUGCAUUCGAUACUGGUUAGCUAGAGUGUGGGAGAGGAUGGUAGAAUUCCAGGUGUAGCGGUGAAAUGCGUAGAGAUCUGGAGGAAUACCGAUGGCGAAGGCAGCCAUCUGGCCUAACACUGACGCUGAGGUGCGAAAGCAUGGGGAGCAAACAGGG
Molecule: ribosomal RNA, 256 nt
Filed under: uncultured bacterium
Lineage: Bacteria
Description: partial 16S ribosomal RNA
Rfam family: Bacterial small subunit ribosomal RNA
Source: RNAcentral